Small nucleolar RNA from Trichomycterus rosablanca, 86 nucleotides. RefSeq annotates it as small nucleolar RNA SNORD70. The transcript has a single exon. The record is from RefSeq and is a predicted model, not a curated record. Lineage: Eukaryota; Metazoa; Chordata; Actinopteri; Siluriformes; Trichomycteridae.
UUUAGUGCUGUCAAUGAUUAGUUGUAUAACUGACUCAUGUGAAGAAAUCAAUCACAGUUCGUCACUACCACUGAGACAGCAUUGGC